Molecule: ribosomal RNA, 465 nt
Filed under: Vreelandella stevensii
Lineage: Bacteria; Pseudomonadati; Pseudomonadota; Gammaproteobacteria; Oceanospirillales; Halomonadaceae
Description: partial 16S ribosomal RNA
Rfam family: Bacterial small subunit ribosomal RNA
Source: RNAcentral
CCUACGGGUGGCUGCAGUGGGGAAUAUUGGACAAUGGGCGAAAGCCUGAUCCAGCCAUGCCGCGUGUGUGAAGAAGGCCUUCGGGUUGUAAAGCACUUUCAGUGGGGAAGAAAGCCUUGGGGCUAAUACCCUCGAGGGAGGACAUCACCCACAGAAGAAGCACCGGCUAACUCCGUGCCAGCAGCCGCGGUAAUACGGAGGGUGCGAGCGUUAAUCGGAAUUACUGGGCGUAAAGCGCGCGUAGGCGGUCUGAUAAGCCGGUUGUGAAAGCCCCGGGCUCAACCUGGGAACGGCAUCCGGAACUGUCAGGCUAGAGUGCAGGAGAGGAAGGUAGAAUUCCCGGUGUAGCGGUGAAAUGCGUAGAGAUCGGGAGGAAUACCAGUGGCGAAGGCGGUCUUCUGGACUGACACUGACGCUGAGGUGCGAAAGCGUGGGUAGCAAACAGGAUUAGAUACCCCAGUAGUC